UUGGAAAUGGGGUCCGAGAGAUCAGAGUGGGAGGACAUAGGGGAGGAAACGACAUUCAAAAAGAACCUACUGUGAUGCAAGAGUCUGGGAAACCUGGGAGCCGCUUUCAGAAUCCUUUCUGCUCCCCACUCCUUCUCCUCCUGGUUCUGACCUUUAAGGACAGGAUGUGGAUAAAUUUAUCCCUGGGUGUUGAGUUGCAGCUACUGCAGUUAACUUGCUCAGGCCCAAGUGCAGGGCUUGGGGACCACUGCAGGAGUCUCCAAAUGGCCUGGGGUACUGAGGGAUCACACCUACACACAAGGCUGCUGGAACGGGGGCCAAGGUGGCCUCAUGGCACUUACUGGUCAUCAAUGAUGUGCUUGCAGGAGGUGGAAACAAUGUAGCCAGCUGUGGAGGCCAUGACGGCUUGGACGGAGGACACGAGCCUAGGGAGGAAGAGGGAGCCGUCGGUUGGGGAGAAGAGGCGCCCCUUGGCUUCUCCUCUUGAUUGUCCAGUUACUGUGCUUCUCGGGUCACUCCCUGCCCAUCUUUCCCCAAGGCUGCCUUGCCCGGGGCUCAGCCCCAUUCAGACAGCAGUGAGCUCCUGGGUUCACCCCUUUCUCUGCCAUCUUCCUCCCCUCAACUGCGGACCCUGAGUCGCCGUCCCCUCAGGAGGACACCAGGGAGGUCAUCUUGAGGUUGGAGUGGUUCUGCAGACCCCAGCAGAGGAGCGCGAAAGUCAACGGGAAGAAGACACAGCCCAGUACAAAAAGCAGGGUCAUGCCUGUCUGGGGGACAAAAGGUGAGAAAAGGUGGUGGUGAGAACACUUCAGCACAAUGUCCCUUGGAUCCAGAGGCCCCCUACUUCGCCCCAGUAUCUCUGUGGACCAUGGGCUACAUCUAUCUGUAGCCAUCAAAAGCCAUCAGGCGAGGAGUUCCCGUCAUGGCUCAGCAGUUAAUGAAUCCGACUAGCAUCCAUGAGGACACGGGUUUGAUCCCUAGCCUCAGUCGGUGGGUUAAGGAUCCAGUGUUGCCGUGAGCUGUGGUGUAGGUUGCAGAGGCAGCUCAAGUCCUGUGUUGCUGUGGUUGUGGUGUAGGCUGGCAGCUGUAUUGGACCCCUAGCCUGGGAACCUCCAUGUGCCAAGGGUGCGGCCCUAAAAAGACCAAAAGAAAAAAAAAAGCCAUCAGGCGUUUCUCUUCCCCAAUCUCUUUGAGAUCCAUAUUGAACUUGAAAUAUCCCUCAGAGCAAUUGGACAUCCUAACUUUUUUGGUUAUCAAUCCAAUUCCAACAAUUUUAUUCAUGUUCCCUGUAGUCCCCGAAGCGGGUCGAUACCUCCCAGUCCAUCUCUCGCCUUAAAAUCCCUUCUUGGAUUUCCUGUCGUGGCUCAGUGGUUAACGAAUCCAACUAGGAACCCUGAGGUUGCGGGUUCGAUCCCUGGCAUUGCUCUCGGUUAAGGAUCUGGCAUUGCCUUGAGCUGUGGUGUAGGCCAGCAGCUACAGCUCCAAUUUGAUCCCUAGCCUGGGAACCUCUAUAUGCCUUGGGAGCGGCUCAAGAAAUGGCAAAAAGACAAAAAAAAAAAAAAAAAAAAAAAAA
This 1573-nucleotide long non-coding RNA is filed under the name Sus scrofa (pig). Its description in RNAcentral is "lncRNA (ENSSSCG00040045792.1)". The record is from RNAcentral. Lineage: Eukaryota; Metazoa; Chordata; Mammalia; Artiodactyla; Suidae.